Molecule: long non-coding RNA, 898 nt
Filed under: Homo sapiens (human)
Lineage: Eukaryota; Metazoa; Chordata; Mammalia; Primates; Hominidae
Description: HSALNT0292950
Source: RNAcentral
ACAGGCAUACGCCACCGCACCUGGCCCAAAUUAUUAAUUGUACGUAUUCUCAUUGUUCUGCUUCUUCCAAGAAAACUGAAGUCACGGUAUUCUGAAGACUAGAGAUGAUUCAACAGGCUGUGAAUCUAUUCCAUUUGGAAUCCUACUGGGCCUGAUCUGUUUUCCAUUGCCAAGGCACUGCUGUUUAAGCUAUACCAUAUGAAGCACCCUCCCUAAAGGCUCAGGGGCCAUAGUGAAAGAGGACACAUGGGAUUGUAAGAGCCAGAUUAUGGGGGUGGAGGGUAAAGGCUGAAGCAAGUCCAUCUUGGAUGCUAACUCACUAUGUUAGCUUCUGAUUAACCCCAGUUCCAGGAAGGCUGCUGAAAUUUCCAGUUUAUGUGUUGUUCCUUGUGUAAGAGCAUGGACUUACUGCAAAUCCUGCCCUUAGGGCAAAUUCCUACCUAUUCCUGCGGAAGCAUGUGUAUCAUUCCCCUAUGGUUUAUAACCCCUGAGUCUGGGGGUAAUGGCACGGGGACCCACCAGCUUGUCUGCCGCCAUCUGGGUUUUUUGAGAUGAAGUCUCGUUCUUGUCCCCCAGGCUGGAGUGCAAUGGCAUGAUCUCAGCUCACUGCAACCUCUGCCUCCCGGGUUCAAGCAAUUCUCCUGUCUCAGCCUCCUGAGUAGCUGGAUUACAGAGAAACACAGAGGAGAGACCCAGAGAGAAGGAGAAGGCCGCAUGAAGAUGGAGCAGAGACUGGAGUUAUUCAGCCAAGUCAAGGAAUGCCUGGAGCACCAGAAGCCGGAAGAGGCAAGGAAGGAUCCUCCCUUAGAGCAUUUGGAAGAGUGUGGCCCUGCCAACACCUUGACUUCAAACUUCUGGCCUCCAUAACUAUGAAAUAAAUUCUUGUUGUUUUAAGCCA